RNAcentral lists this ribosomal RNA (318 nucleotides) under Triticum aestivum (bread wheat). RNAcentral describes it as "partial small subunit ribosomal RNA". Lineage: Eukaryota; Viridiplantae; Streptophyta; Magnoliopsida; Poales; Poaceae. The record is from RNAcentral.
AUGUGGCAUGUGUCCAAUUUACAUGUAGCUCCAACUCGUAUUCACCAGCACCAUGGGCAGGUAGGGUGGACUCUAUCUUGGCCUCUUGGGUCUCAUCAUCACAAAAAUUCAUUAAACUUGCAUACCUGCAUCAUAUGCAGAUGUCGAAAAUUGCAACAUAUGUAUAGCGCAUCAUGUCAUCAAUUGCUUCCAGCCAUCAAAUUAUUAAGUGACACGUACUAUGCUUUAUGUGUGUCUGAAGCUAUGCAACAACUAAUUUUCUUUAGUCUCAAAUCUUGUAGCAACCAGUCAUCCGUUCACUUACAGGACAACGACUAG